This 813-nucleotide ribosomal RNA is filed under the name uncultured bacterium. RNAcentral describes it as "bacterial SSU rRNA". It matches the Rfam family "Bacterial small subunit ribosomal RNA", at positions 54 to 885 of the family's 1533-position model. The record is from RNAcentral.
CAUGCAAGUCGAGCGAGAAGUUUCCUUCGGGAAAUGGAUAGCGGCGCACGGGUGAGUAACACGUAGAUAACCUACCCUGAAGUUUGGGAUAACUCUUCGAAAGAGGGGCUAAUACCGGAUAACAAUGGAAACCUAGUGGUUUCUAUUUGAAAGAUUUAUCGCUUCAGGAUGGGUCUGCGCACCAUUAGCUUGUUGGUAGGGUAACGGCCUACCAAGGCAUCGAUGGUUAGCGGGUCUGAGAGGAUGAUCCGCCACACUGGAACUGAGACACGGUCCAGACUCCUACGGGAGGCAGCAGUGGGGAAUUUUGCGCAAUGGACGAAAGUCUGACGCAGCAAUACCGCGUGAGUGAAGAAGGCCCUUGGGUCGUAAAGCUCUUUGUCUAAGGGAAGAUAAUGACUGUACCUUAGGAAUAAGCACCGGCUAACUCCGUGCCAGCAGCCGCGGUAAUACGGAGGGUGCAAGCGUUGUUCGGAUUUACUGGGCGUAAAGGGUGCGUAGGCGGCCAGAUAAGCUAGAGGUGAAAUCCCGGGGCUCAACCCCGGAACUGCUUCUAGAACUGUUUGGCUAGAGAUAGGCAGAGGCAGGUGGAAUUCCAGGUGUAGAGGUGAAAUUCGUAGAUAUCUGGAGGAACACCGGUGGCGAAGGCGGCCUGCUGGGCCUUAUCUGACGCUAAGGCACGAAAGCGUGGGGAGCAAACAGGAUUAGAUACCCUGGUAGUCCACGCCGUAAACGAUGAAUACCAGCUGUUUGAAGGUUCGACCCUUCAAGUGGCGCAGCUAACGCGAUGAGUAUUCCGCCUGGGAAGUACGG